UUAAUUGAAGCCAAAAUAGCGGCUUAUCACUGUUAAUGAUAAAAUUGGAUAAAAAUCCCAAUUAAA
Molecule: transfer RNA, 66 nt
Filed under: Bubas bubalus
Lineage: Eukaryota; Metazoa; Arthropoda; Insecta; Coleoptera; Scarabaeidae
Description: tRNA-Asn
Source: RNAcentral